AUGGAUGGGUCCCAAGUUUCUCAGAUAUGUGAGAUGCUCGACGCCAUCUGGGCACAACUCCCGGGGCAGGAGGUGGUAUAUCAGUGGGUUGAGUGGAUCCGCAAUUCGUCGCUGUCACACCUCUGGAUUGAUGGCAAAAUAAUAUUAGGUCCAGACAGCCCAGCACACAAAUCAGAUAAUCGUGCUAUCUCAAGAGGUCUCCCAUUGAAUUAUGUAAUCCCUUCGAUGCUCAGCUACAGUAGUAAGAAGCGUCGUAAAGCUUUUCUUGAUGAUCUUCAUAUGUGCCUGAUAUGCCUUACAGAGAGCAAUGGUUCAAACUUCAUCCAGCUGCCAUGCCAGCACUUGUUUUGUGUCACGUGCAUGGAGACCUUGUGCAGGAUACAUGUGAAGGAAGGUACUGUGUUCCAAUUGGUGUGCCCCGGCACCAAGUGCAACAUUUCUAUUCCGCCGUAUCUGCUAAAGAAUCUUCUCAGGGAAGAAGAGUUUGAACGUUGGGAUAGGCUUCUUCUUGACAAAGCAUUGGGCUCAAUGUCAGACGUGGUCUACUGUCCAAGGUGUUCGAUGGCUUGCUUGGCAGACGAGGAUAAGAACGCGCAAUGUCAAAGUUGUUUCUUUACCUUCUGCUCAGCUUGCAAGGAUCCACGCCAUCUAGGGAGACAGUGUUUAACACCAGAACAAAAGCUCAAGGCAUCAGGCAAGUUAACUGUGAGGGAGAUGGUGCAGGAGAUGCUGAUGAUCAGAAGUUUAUACAACGAUGCUAGAGCAUGUCCAAACUGCCGAAUGGCCAUUAGCAGAAGUGAAGGGUGUAACAUGAUGUAUUGUGUGAACUGUGGCAAGUCAUUCUGCUUCCGUUGUGGCGAGGCCAUGACUGCUAGCAAUUAUAACCAUUUCAGUAAAUGUGGGCUCUUUGCGCCGCAAAAAAAGGACUAUAACACAAAUGAUUUGGAGAAGCGACUGAAAGAGCUAGAAACCGCAGAACGCGUGGCUCGAAUGCAUCCGUUAGGCAGUACCAUCGAAUGCCCGAAAUGCCGUCAGAAAAUUUUCAAGGAUGAUGAUGAAUAUGUUUUCUGCUGGGCCUGUCAAGCCAGGUAUUGUACGCUGUGCGAGAAGCGGGUCGAGUUUACAAGGCAACAUGGGGCAAGGGGGCACUGGGGCUCGCCGGAAUGCGUGGGGAUA
Molecule: ribosomal RNA, 1176 nt
Filed under: Triticum aestivum (bread wheat)
Lineage: Eukaryota; Viridiplantae; Streptophyta; Magnoliopsida; Poales; Poaceae
Description: partial small subunit ribosomal RNA
Source: RNAcentral